AACGUAGGACACAAGCGUUGUUCGGAUUUACUGGGCGUAAAGGGCCCGUAGGCGGCCAACUAAGUCGGAUGUGAAAUCCCCAGGCUCAACUUGGGAACUGCAUCCGAUACUGGAUGGCUUGAAUUCGGGAGAGGGAUGCAGAAUUCCAGGUGUAGCGGUGAAAUGCGUAGAUAUCUGGAGGAAUACCGGUGGCGAAGGCGGCAUCCUGGACCGACAUUGACGCUGAACGGCGAAAGCUAGGGGAGCAAACGGG
This 253-nucleotide ribosomal RNA is filed under the name uncultured bacterium. RNAcentral describes it as "partial 16S ribosomal RNA". It matches the Rfam family "Bacterial small subunit ribosomal RNA", at positions 524 to 776 of the family's 1533-position model. The record is from RNAcentral.